Molecule: ribosomal RNA, 522 nt
Filed under: Bifidobacterium pseudocatenulatum
Lineage: Bacteria; Bacillati; Actinomycetota; Actinomycetes; Bifidobacteriales; Bifidobacteriaceae
Description: bacterial SSU rRNA
Rfam family: Bacterial small subunit ribosomal RNA
Source: RNAcentral
AAUGCCGGAUGCUCCGACUCCUCGCAUGGGGUGUCGGGAAAGAUUUCAUCGGUAUGGGAUGGGGUCGCGUCCUAUCAGGUAGUCGGCGGGGUAACGGCCCACCGAGCCUACGACGGGUAGCCGGCCUGAGAGGGCGACCGGCCACAUUGGGACUGAGAUACGGCCCAGACUCCUACGGGAGGCAGCAGUGGGGAAUAUUGCACAAUGGGCGCAAGCCUGAUGCAGCGACGCCGCGUGCGGGAUGACGGCCUUCGGGUUGUAAACCGCUUUUGAUCGGGAGCAAGCCUUCGGGUGAGUGUACCUUUCGAAUAAGCACCGGCUAACUACGUGCCAGCAGCCGCGGUAAUACGUAGGGUGCAAGCGUUAUCCGGAAUUAUUGGGCGUAAAGGGCUCGUAGGCGGUUCGUCGCGUCCGGUGUGAAAGUCCAUCGCUUAACGGUGGAUCUGCGCCGGGUACGGGCGGGCUGGAGUGCGGUAGGGGAGACUGGAAUUCCCGGUGUAACGGUGGAAUGUGUAGAUAUCG